GACGAACGCUGGCGGCGUGCUUAACACAUGCAAGUCGAACGGAAAGGCCCUGCUUUUGUGGGGUUCUCGAGUGGCGAACGGGUGAGUAACACGUGAGUAACCUGCCCUUGACUUUGGGAUAACUUCAGGAAACUUGGGCUAAUACCGGAUAGGAGCUCCUGCUGCAUGUUGGGGGUUGGAAAGUUUCGGCGGUUGGGGAUGGACUCGCGGCUUAUCAGCUUGUUGGUGGGGUAGUGGCUUACCAAGGCUUUGAUGGGUAGCCGGCCUGAGAGGGUGACCGGCCAAAUUGGGACUGAGAUACGGCCCAGACUCGUACGGGAGGCAGCAGUGGGGAAUAUUGCACAAUGGGAGGAAGACUGAUGCAGCAACGCCGCGUGCGGGAUGACGGCCUUCGGGUUGUAAACCGCUUUCGCCUGUGACGAAGCGUGAGUGACGGUAAUGGGUAAAGAAGCACCGGCUAACUACGUG
Molecule: ribosomal RNA, 468 nt
Filed under: uncultured bacterium
Lineage: Bacteria
Description: partial 16S ribosomal RNA
Rfam family: Bacterial small subunit ribosomal RNA
Source: RNAcentral